This 183-nucleotide ribosomal RNA is filed under the name Triticum aestivum (bread wheat). RNAcentral describes it as "partial small subunit ribosomal RNA". The record is from RNAcentral. Lineage: Eukaryota; Viridiplantae; Streptophyta; Magnoliopsida; Poales; Poaceae.
AUGAAUUAGAAAGAAAGAGAUCAGGUUAUUUAUGAUCGGAGAAAAGGAAGGGGUGUGGUUGAUGUGUCACUAGGAACCCGUACGAAGGGGAGACGACCGACCUCAUUCACAUCUGAAAUCGCCAACAUGAACACAAACGAAAUUGUCGAAUUUCGUAUAGAAAGAAAAAAAGGAAACAAGUAA